This 185-nucleotide unclassified non-coding RNA is filed under the name uncultured fungus. Its description in RNAcentral is "sequence contains ITS1". Lineage: Eukaryota; Fungi. The record is from RNAcentral.
UCCUGCAAAAGGUCCCACCCCUUCACUACCUCUUUCGGGGGGGAAACAAGGGAGGACCUUUGCUACCCCAUUCCGUGUUUUUAUCGCGUACCACGUCAGUUUCCUCGGUGGGCUUGCCUACCGGUCGGACACUCGUACAAACCCUUUUGCAGUUGCAAUCAACGUCUGAUACAAUCAAAUAGUUA